AUGAACGCUGGCGGCGUGCCUAAUACAUGCAAGUCGAGCGAACGGACGAGAAGCUUGCUUCUCUGAUGUUAGCGGCGGACGGGUGAGUAACACGUGGAUAACCUACCUAUAAGACUGGGAUAACUUCGGGAAACCGGAGCUAAUACCGGAUAAUAUUUUGAACCGCAUGGUUCAAAAGUGAAAGACGGUCUUGCUGUCACUUAUAGAUGGAUCCGCGCUGCAUUAGCUAGUUGGUAAGGUAACGGCUUACCAAGGCAACGAUGCAUAGCCGACCUGAGAGGGUGAUCGGCCACACUGGAACUGAGACACGGUCCAGACUCCUACGGGAGGCAGAAGUAGGGAAUCUUCCGCAAUGGGCGAAAGCCUGACGGAGCAACGCCGCGUGAGUGAUGAAGGUCUUCGGAUCGUAAAACUCUGUUAUUAGGGAAGAACAUAUGUGUAAGUAACUGUGCACAUCUUGACGGUACCUAAUCAGAAAGCCACGGCUAACUACGUG
Molecule: ribosomal RNA, 496 nt
Filed under: uncultured bacterium
Lineage: Bacteria
Description: partial 16S ribosomal RNA
Rfam family: Bacterial small subunit ribosomal RNA
Source: RNAcentral